This is a long non-coding RNA of Saccoglossus kowalevskii, 1282 nucleotides long. RefSeq lists it as uncharacterized. The record is from RefSeq and is a predicted model, not a curated record. NCBI's taxonomy places the organism in Eukaryota, Metazoa, Hemichordata, Enteropneusta, Harrimaniidae.
ACUCUCGCACUGUCUCAUGAUUUAUCGCGUGUUUUCCGUCGCCUGUUUAAUGCUAAUGACUUCUUAACUCGUUAACACCUCUCUUGUUUCAAUGUUUAUGGAGACAAGGGUGGGUACAAUAGAAUGACGCGGCGCUUCCUAACCGUCCUAGUAGAGUGACUGUGGUUUAAGUCAGUGAAUUGACUGAUAGUGUCGGGGUCAACAGAAUGUCGAGUCAUGUUAUCAGUAUCCCAUACACGCAGGUCGAAAUUCACGCUUUCAACUUGAAACUCGAUAUCCCUCAGGCUGUUUGUGAGUGUUCAUGUUUUAGAUAACAUAAAUAUACCAACAUCUGUUGUUUAUCAUCUACGUGGGAGGUCUAUUUCACGUUGGGAACACUUAGGACUAGACACGCCUUACAUUUAAUCUUGUGAUUGAGUUCAGACUGGCAUUCACAAGUGUGCUUCGGAAUGAUACACAUCGCUUAUAUCAAACACCGUUGAUAUUCGCGAGUGGAACGCGUUGGGCCACUUUCUGUCUGAAAUACCCUUACCACGAAGACUAUUAUGACUCGUACGGUAGUCAUGUCAUGGAAUUUAUAAGAUUUCUCGUACGUGGAUCUACAAUCAUCAAAUACUUUCAAGCCAUGUGUUGCCAAUACGUCCUGUAUGACUCGUAGUGUCCAUGAGAUGAACUUUUCACGGAAGGUCAAACUUGGUCUACCGCCUUUGAAUCUUUGGCAAGAAGCGAGGACAUAUUUUCUUCGUCGGGGGGAAAACGAAAAUCGCUACGUUACACUGUAAACUCAUUCCGUGUGAUGAUUAUGUAUGUCAAAAGUUAUUCUGUGAAACGAUCAGAUGAGCGAUUCUGAUUAUAGUGAUGGAAUAAAAAAAAAAGUGUACAGACUGCUUGACUCAUUGAAAGGAAGUAAGAAAUGUAAAAAUAAACAACAUAUGUAUAUAUAGAAUGAAUUAUUUUUUAUUGAUCAAUGUUUACUAUUAUUGGCUUUUCUCGUUUCUGUGUUUUAAUCGAAUCGUUUAUGUACUCGUAUUUUUUGUGGCAUUAAAAAUAAAUUUAACCACGCCGCACAUUUACAUGUAUCUACGUAUUUUUCGAGGUGUUAACAAAGAAAUAUUUAAUCACGCUAAACAUUUAUACACUACGCAACUAUUUUCCUUACUCACAUCGUAUGUUUUUUUGUGACGUUAAAAAAAUACUCAACCAUGUCAUAAAUAUAUACUCCAUGUCAAUAUUUCAUUCUUGUUUACUUCUUUUGUGCAAUAAACUCCAUUAGUUUUCAAAA